This 254-nucleotide ribosomal RNA is filed under the name uncultured bacterium. RNAcentral's name for it is "partial 16S ribosomal RNA". It matches the Rfam family "Bacterial small subunit ribosomal RNA", at positions 524 to 776 of the family's 1533-position model. The record is from RNAcentral.
UACGGGGGGAGCAAGCGUUGUUCGGAUUUACUGGGCGUAAAGGGCGCGUAGGCGGUCGUGACAAGUCACUUGUGAAAUCUCCGGGCUUAACUCGGAACGGUCAAGUGAUACUGUCGGACUAGAGUACAGAAGGGGCAACUGGAAUUCUCGGUGUAGCGGUGAAAUGCGUAGAUAUCGAGAGGAACACCUGCGGCGAAGGCGGGUUGCUGGGCUGAUACUGACGCUGAGGCGCAGAAGCGUGGGGAGCGAACAGG